This 94-nucleotide transfer RNA is filed under the name Lachnospiraceae bacterium. RNAcentral describes it as "tRNA-OTHER". It matches the Rfam family "tRNA". From Rfam's summary of the family: Transfer RNA (tRNA) molecules are approximately 80 nucleotides in length. Their secondary structure includes four short double-helical elements and three loops (D, anti-codon, and T loops). Lineage: Bacteria; Bacillati; Bacillota; Clostridia; Lachnospirales; Lachnospiraceae. The record is from RNAcentral.
CCGGACGUAGCUCAAAUGGUAGAGAUAGGUCUCUUUUUAGAGUACGGGCCCCUAAUUAUGUUCGUGUAUACGGGUUCGAGUCCCGUCGUCCGGU